Panicum virgatum (switchgrass) is the source of this 1221-nucleotide long non-coding RNA. RefSeq lists it as uncharacterized. The transcript is spliced from 2 exons. NCBI's taxonomy places the organism in Eukaryota, Viridiplantae, Streptophyta, Magnoliopsida, Poales, Poaceae. The record is from RefSeq and is a predicted model, not a curated record.
UACAGGGAGGUCGGGGCCGAGAGCUCGUGCCUCUCCCUGGCAGCUGCCAUGGCAGAGCUCGAGGCUCAAAUCCGUUCCUCUAGAGGGCAAAGGAGAGGUCAUGGGGUGGGGGAAAAUAAUCCUCAGGCCACGGCACAUCUCUCUCGGGUGGAAGAUUUUGGGGAGGAGCGCGGGGAAGGGGUGCUGCUCAGGCGCCAUGGCCAUGGGUGACUGGAGCUCGAGGAAAGCUACUGGAGGUGGGAGAAGGGCUCAAUUGAGUCUAGAGGAAGGCGAUUAGUGUUGGGGACAUGCUCACCUGCAGCUUAAUCGAGCUGGGGACGAGCUGCGGAGGGAGAUCGACGGUGCUCUGUUCUUUGGCUAGAGGAAGAAGAAGGGUUUGGCCUGGCUGUGUGCUGCAACGGCAGUGACUGGGAGUUGAGCGGGCACAACGGCGAAGCUCGGCUCGAUUUAUAGGCAGCCAAAGGCGGUUCGCACGGAAGAAAAAAAAAUCUCGGUCGGCGUACUAUGCUCGACGACCACCGCACAACGCGUCCACGACUUCCGACGCUCGGCAGGACGACGUGACCCACGGUCUUCUCAAGUCCGGCAUGCUCUUUUACGACGGGUCUUCUCAUGGUCGGCAGCCCCGCGUCUGAGUCCGGCAGCGUGGCGUUCUCCUUUGGGCAAGGUGAUAUGACUAGAUGGUAAAGGCUCGACGGUGCACUGAGGCGGUGCAAUUGCUUCUCCUCGUCGGUUCACAAGUAACUGCGGGUAGGUGCUGCUAUCGGUUGACUGUGAGUUAUUGCGAUGUAUGGCGAGGUCGCGAGGCUUUCAUGGAAUGGGACUGGUGAGCUUUGUUGCAGGUACUGUCAUGGCGUUUCUUGCUACUGAAAAGUGAGGGCGUGCAUAUGUGUUGCUCCUGGACAGGGAAGGAAAAGAUAGGCUUUUGCGUGAGGGAAGAAGAUAGACUUCUUGUGUAAGGAGAGAAGCAUGUGGCUGGUCAUUGAAAGGAAUGGGUUGCUGUAAAGUAUUUUCGGUUGGGGUAGCACAAAUGAUCUUGGUGAGAUUAGGAGGUUGCUCAGUAAAUAAAGGAGGGCAAUGAUUAAGUUGGUUGUGUGAAUUAUAUUAGUCCUAGGAAAGUCCUUCGUAUAGAAUAGAGACACGGGUCUUGUAAUGAAGAUUGUUGGUCAAGUUAACUAUAUAAUCGAGAAGUAUACUUAAGUUUUAUUUUGUUGAUGAAAA